CGGGACACGUGGUAUCCUGUCUGAAUAUGGGGGGACCAUCCUCCAAGGCUAAAUACUCCUGACUGACCGAUAGUGAACCAGUACCGUGAGGGAAAGGCGAAAAGAACCCCGGCGAGGGGAGUGAAAAAGAACCUGAAACCGUGUACGUACAAGCAGUGGGAGCACGCUUAGGCGUGUGACUGCGUACCUUUUGUAUAAUGGGUCAGCGACUUAUAUUCUGUAGCAAGGUUAACCGAAUAGGGGAGCCGAAGGGAAACCGAGUCUUAACUGGGCGUUAAGUUGCAGGGUAUAGACCCGAAACCCGGUGAUCUAGCCAUGGGCAGGUUGAAGGUUGGGUAACACUAACUGGAGGACCGAACCGACUAAUGUUGAAAAAUUAGCGGAUGACUUGUGGCUGGGGGUGAAAGGCCAAUCAAACCGGGAGAUAGCUGGUUCUCCCCGAAAGCUAUUUAGGUAGCGCCUCGUGAAUUCAUCUCCGGGGGUAGAGCACUGUUUCGGCAAGGGGGUCAUCCCGACUUACCAACCCG
This 527-nucleotide ribosomal RNA is filed under the name Escherichia coli. Its description in RNAcentral is "partial 23S ribosomal RNA". It matches the Rfam family "Bacterial large subunit ribosomal RNA", at positions 418 to 946 of the family's 2925-position model. Lineage: Bacteria; Pseudomonadati; Pseudomonadota; Gammaproteobacteria; Enterobacterales; Enterobacteriaceae. The record is from RNAcentral.